GUCGGCGUAGUGUAGCGGUUAUCACGUCUGCUUUACACGCAGAAGGUCGCCGGUUCGAACCCGGCCGUUGACA
RNAcentral lists this transfer RNA (73 nucleotides) under Phytophthora infestans (potato late blight agent). It matches the Rfam family "tRNA". Rfam says of the family: Transfer RNA (tRNA) molecules are approximately 80 nucleotides in length. Their secondary structure includes four short double-helical elements and three loops (D, anti-codon, and T loops). Further hydrogen bonds mediate the characteristic L-shaped molecular structure. tRNAs have two regions of fundamental functional importance: the anti-codon, which is responsible for specific mRNA codon recognition, and the 3' end, to which the tRNAs corresponding amino acid is attached (by aminoacyl-tRNA synthetases). tRNAs cope with the degeneracy of the genetic code in two manners: having more than one tRNA (with a specific anti-codon) for a particular amino acid; and 'wobble' base-pairing, i.e. permitting non-standard base-pairing at the 3rd anti-codon position. Lineage: Eukaryota; Oomycota; Peronosporomycetes; Peronosporales; Peronosporaceae. The record is from Rfam by way of RNAcentral. RNAcentral also lists the same sequence under 1 other name.